UGGGGAAUUUUCCGCAAUGGGUGAAAGCCUGACGGAGCAAUACCGCGUGAGGGACGAAGGCCUCUGGGCUGUAAACCUCUUUUCUCAAGGAAGAAGAUAUGACGGUACUUGAGGAAUAAGCCACGGCUAAUUCCGUGCCAGCAGCCGCGGUAAUACGGGAGUGGCAAGCGUUAUCCGGAAUUAUUGGGCGUAAAGCGUCCGCAGGCGGCUUUUCAAGUCUGCUGUUAAAGCGUGGAGCUUAACUCCAUCAUGGCAGUGGAAACUGAAAGGCUUGAGUAUGGUAGGGGCAGAGGGAAUUCCCGGUGUAGCGGUGAAAUGCGUAGAUAUCGGGAAGAACACCAGUGGCGAAGGCGCUCUGCUGGGCCAUUACUGACGCUCAUGGACGAAAGCCAGGGGAGCGAAAGGGAUUAGAUACCCCUGUAGUCA
Molecule: ribosomal RNA, 426 nt
Filed under: uncultured cyanobacterium
Lineage: Bacteria; Bacillati; Cyanobacteriota
Description: bacterial SSU rRNA
Rfam family: Bacterial small subunit ribosomal RNA
Source: RNAcentral